AUUGAACGCUGGCGGCAGGCCUAACACAUGCAAGUCGAACGGUAACAGGAAGAAGCUUGCUUCUUUGCUGACGAGUGGCGGACGGGUGAGUAAUGUCUGGGAAACUGCCUGAUGGAGGGGGAUAACUACUGGAAACGGUAGCUAAUACCGCAUAACGUCGCAAGACCAAAAAGGGGGACCUUCGGACCUCUUGCCAUCGGAUGUGCCCAGAUGGGAUUAGCUAGUAGGUGGGGUAACGGCUCACCUAGGCGACGAUCCCUAGCUGGUCUGAGAGGAUGACCAGCCACACUGGAACUGAGACACGGUCCAGACUCCUACGGGAGGCAGCAGUGGGGAAUAUUGCACAAUGGGCGCAAGCCUGAUGCAGCCAUGCCGCGUGUAUGAAGAAGGCCUUCGGGUUGUAAAGUACUUUCAGCGGGGAGGAAGGGAGUAAAGUUAAUACCUUUGCUCAUUGACGUUACCCGCAGAAGAAGCACCGGCUAACUCCGUG
RNAcentral lists this ribosomal RNA (490 nucleotides) under uncultured bacterium. RNAcentral describes it as "partial 16S ribosomal RNA". It matches the Rfam family "Bacterial small subunit ribosomal RNA", at positions 30 to 507 of the family's 1533-position model. The record is from RNAcentral.